RNAcentral lists this long non-coding RNA (241 nucleotides) under Mytilus galloprovincialis (Mediterranean mussel). Lineage: Eukaryota; Metazoa; Mollusca; Bivalvia; Mytilida; Mytilidae. The record is from RNAcentral.
UCUUCUUCCAUAUAUUUGAUAUGAGGGAGCGAUGUAAAUGAGUGGAUAAAACUGGUGUUCCUUUUUUCAACAACAAAAUAGUAUUUUUUUCUGCAUUUCUCCUUUCUUUCGACUAAUAUAUAUAAUAUGUUGUUGCUUUUAUACAAUAGUGUUUUUGUGUAUCUAUGAUAGAACUCCAUUUUGUUUAUGGCCAUUAUCAUGUGAUUAUGAUGAAAUUUCCUAUUUCUUUUUUUGCAGGAAA